GUGCCUGUGAUGUAGUGGUAUCAUAUCUGUCUAACACACAGAAAGUCCCAGGAUCGAAACCUGGCAGGCACA
Non-coding RNA from Dermatophagoides pteronyssinus (European house dust mite), 72 nucleotides. The record is from the annotation of a RefSeq genome assembly. Lineage: Eukaryota; Metazoa; Arthropoda; Arachnida; Sarcoptiformes; Pyroglyphidae.